RNAcentral lists this ribosomal RNA (352 nucleotides) under uncultured bacterium. RNAcentral describes it as "bacterial SSU rRNA". It matches the Rfam family "Bacterial small subunit ribosomal RNA", at positions 8 to 349 of the family's 1533-position model. The record is from RNAcentral.
AGAGUUUGAUCAUGGCUCAGGAUGAACACUAGCUACAGGCUUAACACAUGCAAGUCGAGGGGAAACGACAUCGAAAGCUUGCUUUUGAUGGGCGUCGACCGGCGCACGGGUGAGUAACGCGUAUCCAACCUGCCCACCACUUGGGGAUAACCUUGCGAAAGUAAGACUAAUACCCAAUGAUAUCUCUAGAAGACAUCUGAAAGAGAUUAAAGAUUUAUCGGUGAUGGAUGGGGAUGCGUCUGAUUAGCUUGUCGGCGGGGUAACGGCCACCAAGGCGACGAUCAGUAGGGGUUCUGAGAGGAAGGUCCCCCANAGUUGGAACUGAGACACGGUCCAAACUCCUACGGGAGCA